Long non-coding RNA from Cyprinus carpio carpio, 1256 nucleotides. NCBI's taxonomy places the organism in Eukaryota, Metazoa, Chordata, Actinopteri, Cypriniformes, Cyprinidae. The record is from Ensembl.
AAUAAAUGUUUUUUGAGGAGCAAAUCAGAAUAUUAGAAUGAUUUCUGAUGGAUCAUGUGACUGGAGUAACGAUGCUAAAAAUUCAGCUUUGAAAUCAGGAAUAAAUUACAUUUUAAAAUAUAUUCAAAUAGAAAGCAGCUAUUUUAAAUAGUAAAAAUAUUUCAAAAAUACAAAAGAUAUUUACAAGAUGAAUACAAUAAUUUUAGACAAAAAUUAAAACAAUUUAUAUUCCAAUUGUAGGCAGUUACAUUUUGAGGUUUAAAUCUUCAAUUAUUCAAAUGCAAUUUUCAACAGAAAAAACAAGUGUUCCAUAAAAUUCAUAGUAAUUAUUGCAUUAUUAUUUUUACAGUUUAUUUUAUGGAUUUGAGGAUAAGAGACAUGAAAUUAUUCUUCUGAUUCAAUAAGUUGACAAUACGCUAGCUGGCAGCUCUCUGAGUGACACUUCUUUUGAAUGAACUAAUGAGAAAAAAAACCUAGAUAAAAUCAAAUAUGUAUUCUUCCUGAAUUAACAAAAAUGAUAAAGCCAUCACUUAUGCGCCAUGAGGUUUGAGACGUAAGCGUCUGCUUCUAAUUAAAAAGACACAAUGAUUAAUUAAAGCUGCAAGCAGCGAUGAACGGGCCCUCGCACCCGGGCUCACCGCCAGCGGGUGGCUUUUGUAAAACAGCGAACGGCGAGAUAUAUGCGUUUAAUGUGGUAAAUAUAAGAGAAAUAUGUCAAAGUCAUUUAUAUGUGCCAAUCUUCCUGCUGCCAGCUGGUGGCGCUAUGACUAUAACUGGAUUUUGGCAUGUAGAUUUCUUCAGUCCAGCACUUUUAUCAAGCAUAUGAAAUUUAGUGCAGAUUGAACAUGGAAUGUUUGAGGUUAAUAUAAGGCAUGAGGUGUCCUAUUGCCAACAGGUGGCGCUAUGAUUAUAACUGAAUAUUGGCCUUUAGAUAUCUUCAGGCCAUGACUCUUUCCAAAUAUUUAAAGUUUGGUGCAGAUUGGACAUUGCAUGUUUAAGUUAGUGUAAAACAAGCCAUUUCUUGUUGCCAGCAGGUGGCGCUAUUAUUAUAGUGGAAUAUUGACCUUCAGAUGUGUUCAGGCCAAGACUCUUUUCGAACAUGUGAAGUUUGGGGAAGAUCGGACAUCUUAUGCCUGAGUUACAACAACUUCUAUUCCCAUGGCGAGACAUCGAACUUUGUCAUGGCGCCAUGGCCACACCCUUUAAUGAAAACUCAAGAUGUUCACAAUUUAACAUCGCAAAGGCCUUUAGAUUAG